UGAAGGCGCCUUUUAUAGCCUUGCAGGAGGGGGCGUGGCCCCUCCUUUCCUAUUGGUUCUUCGGCCACAAAGGGAAAAAACUCGGUGCCAGCUGAUUGGUUCUGGUUCUGGGGAAAAUAGCAAGUGGCCCCCACGUGGGGCGGGGGAAGUUUUGCAAGGGGUGGAUUUGCUUAAAAAAAAAAAAAAAAACGCACUAGAGAGAGAGUUUCGAUUGAAAUUUCCCAGCAGUUUUUGUUCCUGUGCUGGGCAGAGGCAUGGGAUUUCCACAGAGCUCUGGGCGUGCAGCUGAACUUGGCAAGCUGCUUUGUCCAGGGGAAAACAAACCUGGGCGAGAUCCCUUGCUGGAGAAUUCGGAGGGGCUAUUUUUAGAGGAAAGAAGUAUCCCAAGGGUUUGAAUUAAAAUGCAUGCCCUGGAAAUCCCCCACCCCACCGCACCCCACCUUUCCCAAGGACCCCCCCGGCCAUCCUUCCCCGGGCUUGGUCUGCAGCUGUUCGGGGACAAAAAUCACAUCCAGGCGAGGAUGCAUUUUGCAAAGGAAAAGUAGGGACAUUAUGCAAAGGGAGAAUUCUUAUUGUCUUCCACUCCGGAGCAAAUUCCGAGAUGCUGGAGUUGGGGGAGGGGGGUGGUGGUGUCUAUAUUCCUAGGACUGAACUCUGGAGCUGCAAAAAGCAAACGUGUCUAGUGAAUGCCCUGCUCUGCAAGGGCACUUUUCCUCCCCUCUCCCCCAUUUGAGCAGGGCGAUACCCGUUCCACCUCGUAGGCAGAAAACGAAGAGCACCCAGCUGUGUGUUGUGUAGGCGGCGGAGGGGAAAGGAUGAGUUAAUCAUGAGGUUUUCGAGCCAGUCAUGGUUUCUGCAGCUUGCAAAAACGUUGUGACUCGUUUCACAACAACCCCUGCAGCGUGCAUCAUGUUUCCUUGGCUGGGACCUUUCUAGGUUGUCCUCUCUUUUCCUCUUCUGCAAGGCGGCUCAGACCCCAGGUGCGGGGCCGUGCAAACUUUAUCAGCGCCGCUUCUGAUGCACACGCCUGCUGGCUGCAGACAAGGCUCGCUCCAGGCUCGCGUUCACCGCGGGCGCUGCUUGGGUGGCAAGAUUUAUUUCAGGCAGAGAAUGAACCAACCUUCAAAUCCCUCUCAAACCCGGGAACUCAAACAAGACACCGUGUACUUUCCCGAGCAGCUGAGCUGCCAGGGAACUAGCAGGGAACGCCGCUGGCCUUCAGCUUGAAUGCAUUUCCCAAAGCGAGCUCGGGGGGGUUGCGAGGUUCGCGUAACAUUCCGCUCUGCAAAGCAGGUGGGAGGGCAAGCCUGGAGCCUGAACUUUUGCAGAGGAUCGUGGCACUUCGAAGUGACUUUCCUGAGCCAGGCCGCGUUGCGCUAGGCGCUGGACAGACACAGAGUACUGCUGUCUCCAAGCGUCCCAAAAUCUGGAGUCGCCUCCCACCGCCUCCAAAUCACGAGAUUGACUUAAAAAUCACAAGAUCUUUUUCGUUUGGCUCCUGGGCUGGGAGCCUGCAGGGGCCACAUGUUUGAGCUUUUCUCUGCCACCGGGUGGGCUGCAAAGGUCUGAGCUGAGACUCAGCACAUCACGCUAUGUCCCCGUCUCCGAGCGCACAGGAUGCUGCACGGUACACCCUGCCAUUCGUAAAGCUGUCCCACGGCUGGGCCCAGAAGAAGUCACGGACUGGAGAAACAUUGGCACUUUGAAAAAGAACAGAGCUGAGGGGUUUUCCAGGUUCUCAGACUUAUUUGCUUCAAUUUUGACUUUGGUUUCCGAGGGAAAGGGAAUUUCUGCCUCAUAAGCACAUAAGAGCUGCUGUCCUGGGUCAGACCCGUGCUCCAUCUGGCCCAGUCUCCUGUUUCCUAGAGCGGCCGGUACCAGAGCUUCCUGGGGAAUGCCCAGAAUAGGGCAAUUCUGGAGCCAUCACCCCCUGAGUUCCCCUCCUGAUUUCGGGCAGUCAGAGGUUUUGGGUCACCCCCCUUGGCUGGUGGCCAUCGGUGGAGCUCGUUUGAACCCUGUUAUACUUUAACCAUCACAGUAUCCCACUGACAGUUUGUUCCAUGCAAACGGGAAAGGACAUCCCCAUUGUGGUGAGGGCAGGGGUCAAUUGUUCUCUCUGGCCACCGAGAACAGGACAAGAAGUAAUUGGUUUAUUUUGCAGCAAGGGAGAUUUAGGUUAGAUAUUAGGAAAAUCUUUCUAGCUAGAAGGCUAGUUAAGCCUUAGGGAGGUUGUGGAAUCACCAUCAUUGGAGGAUUUUAAGCCCAGGUUGGACAAACACCCGUCAGGGACAGUCUAGGUUUCCUUGGUCCUGCCUCAGUGCUGGUGGCUGGAUUUGAUGACGUCUUGAGGUCCCUUCCAGCCCUGCAUGUCUGUGAUUCUGUUCUGUGACGUGGAUACAAAUCAUUUCCCAGCUGAUUGCAAGGCAGUCGGGGAAAUGGACCAAUCAGUGCAAACCACCAGCAUAGCAACGUUGACACCCCCAGAGCGCUGGCGAAUUCCUCCCACUGUGGAGCUUGCCCGGGAUUUUUAAAAGCCGCAGCUGGUCUCUUGUGUUUUGCUAGAGCUGAUUGGGACCCACAUAUCCAAACAUCUCACCCUAAGUGGGUCGGAAGUCCAGCAGAACUGAUGUCUCCCUCCCCUGGCUGUUGAUUGCGGAAUGGGCCAGUGCCUCUGGUGGCAUUUUCAGCACAUGUCAGAGUUUCAGUAUUAAAGCUGGGUGGAGAGGCCCCGAUGGGGAUCAGGGUCCUGGUGUGCCUGGCCCUACACAGAUCCAUGGUAAGAGACAGUUCCUGCCCUGAGGAGUCUGUGAUCUAUCUAAAUAGCCAAGACAGAUGAAGCAUGGGAAGAAAGGAUGGAUUAUUAUCCCCAGUUCCAAGCAGGGAAGCUGAGACAAAGAGACUUGGCCAAAGUCACGUGGGCAGAACCAGGAAGGGAACCCAGCUAUCCCGGGUCCCAGCCUGGAGCCACAGCCAGAGCCGCCUUCUCUUGAUUCAGUUCAGCUUUGCUAAUAUUUGCACAAAACGAUCUGCCUGCAGCAGAGUGCUGGCCCGGUUCUAGUUCCCGAAAGCGUCCUCAUUUCUUCCAGAAAAGAAGGGCUGGUUCCACACCUCGUCCAGACCCUGCUGAGCCGAACAACCAUUGUUCAGAGAGGAACUGAAAAUAUCAUUCACGGCUCACGUGGCAGCUUGGUAAAGGCCUGGAGGCUGAUCUCAGUUACCCCGGUGCAAAGCCGGAGUCACCCCCCUGACCCCUCUGGAAGGAGUCAUUAGUGCAAUUGCAUUGUUAUGAAAUAUCCAUUAUCAGAAUCAUGAGCCAUUGUUUCCUGGUCUGUGGUUACUUCAGGCAGUCACAAGUUUAUAAGCAGAAAUUGCUCAAGACCUCAACAUAAAAAUCUCACUUUGUGCCUGUGCUGCUCCUGGGUACGUUUGUAUCAACCCCUCAUGGCAGCACCAAGCACUAAGUAUUUUAAUCUCAACUAAAAUUCCCACUGCAUUCAGUUCAAAUAAGUCUUCAAAAUGUACAUGGAUUCUCACCUUUACUCCAUGGCCGACAUCAUCCAGCACGGUAUAGUCGGCAGGUUUUCAAAUAUACCUUACAGGACGCUCCAUGUUUGCCGGCACUCUAAUUUUAUGAGUUCUUGAUGUGUUCUUAUUGGUUGUCAAAAUACCUCUCUCUGCGAGGCGCUUUCUCUUUAUGGAUGGUCACAGUCUUAACUCUUUGCUGACUGUGACUAUCCACAGGGGAGGGAUAGUUCACUGGUUUGAUCAUUGGCCUGCUAAACUCAGGGUUGUGAGUUUAAUCCUCAAGGGGGCCAUUUAGGGAUUUAGUUGGGGUUGGUCCUGCUUUGGGUAGGGGGUUGGACUAGAUACCUCCUGAGGUCCCCUUCAACCCUGCUAUUCUAUAGUCCAGCCUAACUGAGAUUAGCCUCUGGCCUCAAGGAGAGUAAAUCAACAUGGCCAUCUGUGGAUUCCAUUUCAAAACCAGCUGUGAGACCACUGGGAACAACCUGCAGCUGCCUCAGGAGGAUCACACUGAGGACCUUAGGCAGCACACCAGGAACUUCAGCAAGUCAUUGGGACAAUCCAACUCCUGCCAGUCAGCUGAAAACCAGCUGCACCAAGCAAGGGUGAGAGACUGGGACAGCGGCAUCUGCUCCACAAACCGUCUCCUGGCUGUGUCUGCAGUUAUUCUGAUUGCUCAGAACCUGGCAGGCAAGGAUAAAAUCAUGACUCCAAUCAAUUACACUUGAAAUAAAUAUUUAUGGCUCAUUAUUUUUUGGCAGGGAAGAGUAAAAAACCUGUCCCCGGCUCGUGAAAGGAAAUUAGUUGUUGAUUAGUAUUUAGAUUAGCACACGGUGCGGAGUUUAAUGAAGAGCAGUCGUUUCAAAUGGUGCAGUUUCUGUGCGUGUAUGGAAAACUCAUCUAAAAUAUGGGCUUGUGUGGAGGUAGGAGACCAAAGAGAGCAGAGUUAUUGGGCCUGUUCUCCGCUGACCUGCCCCGUGGGCGAGUAUUUACACUAUUGCAAAACAGAGGUGACACGCUGCCAGUAAGCCAGUUUGCACGAAUGUAAGUGACUACACCAGGUGCAAGGAAAUUGAGGAGUCCCAAUCUAGCCAGCGAUCCCCAGUGUUUGCUGAUUUCUGGGAGCCAAACUGAGACGCCAUUUCUCCCAACAGUUCUGAGUUUGGAGGGAUUGUCCCACUUUGACCCUCCCCACCCUCUCUUCUGGUUGAAGCGGAACAUUUCCCGCAUUAUGCUUGCUGUGUUAAAGUAGAAUCAGUUACUAUGAGUGAAUGAAAAUACAAUUCUAACGGAGGGUGCAAGCAUAGUCACAAAGCGGUAUUUCACUUGUGCGAAGUCACAACUUCACGUGUUUCUCUUGGGUGGUGUGAUGAAGUGGGAAAGUUCUUAAUGUUUUCUCUGAAUACUGUGUGGGUGCCUCGGUUUCCCCUAUGUGUUUCUUAAGUAUCUAGGUGGUGCGAUAAGGGUGUGUGAUUGUUGCAGAGCCCUAGAGGGCUAGUGUGAUGCUGUCUGCACAGAGAAUUGCUGACACUCUGUCUCCCGGUAACUGAUGGCCUGGGCCCCUCUCCUGCAAAGGUGCCAACUGAAGGGGUUGGAGAACAAAGAGGUCAGGUGACCUCCUGGCCCGGGGAAAGAGACAAAGGCAGAGGAGGGGCUAGAGAGUUUCAGUUUGGAGCUGGCUGGGGAAAUGGAGGGGGGCCAGACGGGGCUCUGGCCUCCCUGGCCUCAAGAUGGACCUGACUGAGGGGUCCUGUUGUCUAUACUUACAAGCUCUGUUUUGGACCG
This is a long non-coding RNA of Gopherus flavomarginatus (Mexican gopher tortoise), 5307 nucleotides long. RefSeq lists it as uncharacterized. NCBI's taxonomy places the organism in Eukaryota, Metazoa, Chordata, Testudines, Testudinidae. The record is from RefSeq and is a predicted model, not a curated record. The transcript is spliced from 4 exons.